This 216-nucleotide ribosomal RNA is filed under the name Glomeromycotina sp. Its description in RNAcentral is "partial small subunit ribosomal RNA". The stretch from base 40 to 216 matches the Rfam family "Eukaryotic small subunit ribosomal RNA", at positions 686 to 864 of the family's 1831-position model. The record is from RNAcentral. Lineage: Eukaryota; Fungi; Glomeromycota.
GGGUCAGUAGGUUGGUCGUGCCACCGGUACGUACUGGUCUCACUGAUUCCUCCUUCCUGAAGAACCGUAAUGCCAUUAAUUUGGUGUUGCGGGGAAACAGGACUGUUACUUUGAAAAAAUUAGAGUGUUUAAAGCAAGCUAACGCUUGAAUACAUUAGCGUGGAGUAAUGAAAUAGGACGAUCGAUCCUAUUUUGUUGGUUUCUAGGAUUGACGUA